Molecule: ribosomal RNA, 228 nt
Filed under: uncultured bacterium
Lineage: Bacteria
Description: partial 16S ribosomal RNA
Rfam family: Bacterial small subunit ribosomal RNA
Source: RNAcentral
GCAAGUCGAGCGAACCACUUCGGUGGGAAGCGGCGAACGGGUGAGUAACACGUAGGUGAUCUGCCCAUCAGACGGGGACAACGAUUGGAAACGAUCGCUAAUACCGGAUAGGACGCAGUUUAAAGAUGCUUCUGGCAUCACUGAUGGAUGAGCCUGCGGCGCAUUAGCUAGUUGGUGGGGUAAAGGCCUACCAAGGCGACGAUGCGUAGGCGACCUGAGAGGGUGGAC